AUGUCAGUGCAUAGCAGCUGCCUGGGUUCUACCCCAGCAUCUCCCACCUCCAUAAAAGGGGAGGGAAGGAAGUGAGAGUCUUCCAAGCCCGUGUGGGACUGGGCCAUUUAGUUCACACAACUCCUAAAGAGCGGGUUGGCAGCAGGGAGCCCAGCGUUUGAGUCAGAGCUCAGUUAAGAGUCCUGCCAGGAAAGCUAAGCUGUAGUUGCUGCUGUUCUGAUUGGCACUGCUGUAGAAGGUUCUGGUCAUAGACCAGUGAUCAGCAGGCCCCUGCAGGAGGGGCAGGGGUUGGUUCUGUCUCCAUUGUGCUGUGUCUUGGGCAACCAGAGCACAGGUUGGUGCUGUGCUGCCAAGAGUAAAGGUCCUAGGGUGGCCUUGCACAUUUUGCAUGAUGGGCCCCACUGCCCUCUAGGUGGACAAUGCUUAUUGGCUGUGGACCUUCCAAGGUCGUCUUCUCCAGAAGAACAACAAGGACCGCUUCUGCCAGCUGCUCUGGAGACCAAGGCCCCCAACACUCCUCAGUCAGGAUCAGAUAAAGGUCUGUGUUCCCUGCCUAGUUGGGGUAAGGGAACGGUUGUCCAUCUAUGACUGCACAGGGCAGUCAGUGGGGAGUGGAGGAGGUAGGCAUGGAGAGGGCUCUGAGAUGAGGACCAAUGAGACCUGACCUGAAGCUGUGUCAGGUAAGGCAGUGCUUAUAAUCCCAGGAGGCUGAGGCAGGAGGAUGGCGAGUUCUUUUCAGACUCUGGGGUCACUACAAGAUGACCUUAUCAUGUCUUCCUUCCCUUCCCCCUCCCCACUUCUUCAGAAAACCCAUGACAGUCAGUCUAAGCCAGACAGGCUGUGCACAAGUUCCAGUGGGAUUGGGAGAGCUCAGAAGGGGUUAUGUAAUGGGAUAGGCUUGUGGUGCUAGGUCAGAGCCGGGAGUGACUCAGCCUAGGAAUCCUCUCCAUGAGUGAUCUGGGCAUGCUGGUGCCCUGGGGCUGGUCCUGAAGGCUGUCGUCACUGCACAUGGCAUCUUUGUGACAGCAGUUGUGGAUAUUGCUUUGAAGGCUCAAUCCUGAGAGACUUGUCUUGGUUUCAGCAAAUUAAAAAGGAUCUGAAGAAAUACUCUAAGAUCUUUGAGCAGAAGGAUCGCUUGAGCCAGUCCAAAGCUUCAAAG
RNAcentral lists this long non-coding RNA (1159 nucleotides) under Rattus norvegicus (Norway rat). RNAcentral describes it as "long non-coding RNA NONRATT007794". Lineage: Eukaryota; Metazoa; Chordata; Mammalia; Rodentia; Muridae. The record is from RNAcentral.